AAUAAAAUGGCCGAAAAUAUAAGCGAUAAAUUGUAAAUUUAUUUAUGAGGAAACAAUACUCUUUUAUUA
RNAcentral lists this transfer RNA (69 nucleotides) under Rondotia menciana. RNAcentral describes it as "tRNA-Tyr". It matches the Rfam family "tRNA". Rfam says of the family: Transfer RNA (tRNA) molecules are approximately 80 nucleotides in length. Their secondary structure includes four short double-helical elements and three loops (D, anti-codon, and T loops). Further hydrogen bonds mediate the characteristic L-shaped molecular structure. tRNAs have two regions of fundamental functional importance: the anti-codon, which is responsible for specific mRNA codon recognition, and the 3' end, to which the tRNAs corresponding amino acid is attached (by aminoacyl-tRNA synthetases). tRNAs cope with the degeneracy of the genetic code in two manners: having more than one tRNA (with a specific anti-codon) for a particular amino acid; and 'wobble' base-pairing, i.e. permitting non-standard base-pairing at the 3rd anti-codon position. Lineage: Eukaryota; Metazoa; Arthropoda; Insecta; Lepidoptera; Bombycidae. The record is from RNAcentral.